This 245-nucleotide ribosomal RNA is filed under the name uncultured bacterium. Its description in RNAcentral is "partial 16S ribosomal RNA". It matches the Rfam family "Bacterial small subunit ribosomal RNA", at positions 524 to 768 of the family's 1533-position model. The record is from RNAcentral.
GACGAACCGUGCGAACGUUGUUCGGAUUCACUGGGCUUAAAGGGCGCGUAGGCGGGUCACCAAGUCGGGGGUGAAAGCGUUCGGCCCAACCGGACAAGGGCCUCCGAAACGGGUGGUCUGGAGGGAGGUAGGGGCAGGUGGAACUUCCGGUGGAGCGGUGAAAUGCGUAGAUAUCGGAAGGAACGCCGGUGGCGAAAGCGGCCUGCUGGACCUCUUCUGACGCUGAGGCGCGAAAGCCAGGGGAG